This 253-nucleotide ribosomal RNA is filed under the name uncultured bacterium. Its description in RNAcentral is "partial 16S ribosomal RNA". It matches the Rfam family "Bacterial small subunit ribosomal RNA", at positions 524 to 776 of the family's 1533-position model. The record is from RNAcentral.
UACGGAGGGGGCAAGCGUUGUUCGGAAUUACUGGGCGUAAAGGGCUCGUAGGUGGCCCCAUAAGUCAGACGUGAAAUCCCUCGGCUCAACCGAGGAACUGCGUCUGAGACUGUGGGGCUUGAAUCCGGGAGAGGGAUGCGGAAUUCCAGGUGUAGCGGUGAAAUGCGUAGAUAUCUGGAGGAACACCGGUGGCGAAGGCGGCAUCCUGGACCGGUAUUGACACUGAUGAGCGAAAGCCAGGGGAGCAAACGGG